Molecule: non-coding RNA, 69 nt
Organism: Podarcis lilfordi (Lilford's wall lizard)
Lineage: Eukaryota; Metazoa; Chordata; Lepidosauria; Squamata; Lacertidae
Source: the annotation of a GenBank genome assembly
GGUGUAGCUUAGUGGUAAAGUGCAUGCUUUGCAUUCAGAAGGUCAUAGGUUCAAUUCCCGAUAGAACUA